RNAcentral lists this unclassified non-coding RNA (256 nucleotides) under uncultured Parcubacteria group bacterium. RNAcentral's name for it is "contains 16S-23S intergenic spacer region". It matches the Rfam family "Bacterial small subunit ribosomal RNA", at positions 524 to 776 of the family's 1533-position model. The record is from RNAcentral.
UACAGAGACCUCAAGCGUUAUCCGGAAUUAUUGGGCGUAAAGCGUUCCGAUCGGUGGCUUUGCAAGUCUGCGGCCAAAACUGGGAGCUCAACUUCCAGCUUGUCGCGGAUACUGCAUGGCUAGAGGGGCAAAGAGGUGCUUGGAACGAAUGGUGUAGCAGUGAAAUGCGUUGAUAUCAUUCGGAACACCAAUAGCGAAGGCAGAGCACUGGGUGCCUCCUGACACUGCUAGGACGAAAGCGUGGGUAGCGAAUGGG